Molecule: long non-coding RNA, 1739 nt
Filed under: Anas platyrhynchos platyrhynchos (common mallard)
Lineage: Eukaryota; Metazoa; Chordata; Aves; Anseriformes; Anatidae
Description: lncRNA (ENSAPLG00000021231.1)
Source: RNAcentral
UUAUUUUACUGUGUAUAGUGGCUGCCAGAACUGCCUGGUGCAACUCUUACCCCUUGCCUGCUGUGAUUUUGUCUGCGUUUGUUGUGACUUCAAACACAGAUCUCAAAGCACAGACCUCAAUGGAGAGCCAAAGUAUGCCCCAAGUUCUCCUCAGGCACAGGCAGCGGGGACAUUUUGUAAAAAUGAAAAAAACAAGAGUCAAAUUCUAAUUUUUGCCAGUGAACUUGAGCAUUGUGUGACUUCCAGCUUACUCCGUUGUCUCUCAAGGCCUUAAAGCAGGGCAGGACACGAGCCGGUGAGGUCCUGUGCCCUUCCCUCAGCUCACUCUCACAGAAAAGUAUGGCCUAAUGUGGGUGAAUAAAAUCAGGCAGUUCAGUGGAUCACCUGCUUUCACAGGCAACGGGGAUCAGAUAUUAACUGCAGCCCUCUGAUUGAGCAGCAAUGGACCAUUCUCUGUGUCUGUGCUCACCAGUAUUCCUGUGGUGACCACGUUCACCUGCUGGUAUAAAGGUUCCUGCUCACUCGUGAUGGUUUCUGACAUUUGGCUUCUCAGCACUGAGGAGCAAGGCUGAGAUUUGCAGGGAAGAGCCAAGAUACACUUCUAGGUGGCAUGGUUGUGAUUCCACUAACAGAAAUGAAGCUUCUCUGUAAAUGGCACGUACCAGCUUUCCACCCUGCCUGUGCCUUAACCACAAAUGUCUGCCUCCUGACAGCUUCUCCCCUGCUAGCCUGGGCUUUCUGCAGUGGCUGCUCGCGCUCCCCCAGUCUGUCCGCGUGGCCACAUCGGGACACAACUGGGAAGAAGGAAAACUCCUGGUGGAGAAUAUCCUCACGGAGCAGCCUUCCAUGUCAUCGGGAUGGGCAUCCCCAUGCAGGAGCUGGCUCUGGACCCUUUUUCUCAAGAACUGUGAAACACUUCCCCCGUUAAACCGCCUGUCACAUUACUGAAGGGGGCACUGAUGUAUCUGAUUAGUGAGGAAGCUCUGAAGGAAUCCAUCUGUCUUAGCAUUCGGAUGGGUAUUUAUCUCUUUCAUGGGUUUCUUUUGUCCAAAGGAAUCAUUUGCUCUGAUGUGAAGUAAUGCAAUAUCUGCUCUCUUUGGGGAUUUCAGCAGGAAGCUAUACUCCCUGAGCCUCAUUUUAAUCUCCUAGUGUCGUAAAUCAGGAAUAACCUCAAGAAAGUCAGCAAAAUUAUGCUCGUGAAAACUGAUGUACAAGACACGGGGCCUCUGAUCUCCAGCAGCAGUAGAGAUGAGCUCAGCCCCUGAAUCUCUUCUCCCUCUGUAUGUAGAUCCUGCUGGUCUCUGGAGAUGCUCAGACGUGGCUCUUGUGUGCUAAAUACAGCAUCCAGGCUUUGGAGGGUGGCGCCUUUCAUGCUUUUGCUGACCAGGUAGAAGGAGAAGAUAUGAGGGCUUAUAGAGAUAAAUUCUCUCUGUGAGAGGCUCAGGACAAACCAAUAGAAACAAGAAACUCCAGUUGUGCAGAAAAGUUUUUGAAUGUACACUCAUCCUGACAAAGAUGCUGCAGCACACCUCCUAUCUGCAUCAAUUACAGUGAUGGGCAUGGAGCAGAUUCAGAAAGAAAAUCAAAUCAUGAGUAUUUCAGUGGUUCUGCUUUUAAACCUUGUGUGGCGAUGGGAGCCCCAGGAAGCAAUGUUUUGGCUUUUCUUCUGCCUAAACACCAGAUAUGAUCAGGAAAAAUGAUUUUGUAUUUUCUUCUCAUUCAAAAUGGUUAAAAUCUGA